ACGGGAAACCGGAGCUAAUACCGGAUAAGAUAUCGAACCGCAUGGUUCGAUAGUGAAAGAUGGUUUUGCUAUCACUUAUAGAUGGACCCGCGCCGUAUUAGCUAGUUGGUGAGGUAACGGCUCACCAAGGCAACGAUACGUAGCCGACCUGAGAGGGUGAUCGGCCACACUGGAACUGAGACACGGUCCAGACUCCUACGGGAGGCAGCAGCG
Molecule: ribosomal RNA, 213 nt
Filed under: uncultured Staphylococcus sp.
Lineage: Bacteria; Bacillati; Bacillota; Bacilli; Caryophanales; Staphylococcaceae
Description: partial 16S ribosomal RNA
Rfam family: Bacterial small subunit ribosomal RNA
Source: RNAcentral